Pelobates cultripes (western spadefoot toad) is the source of this 844-nucleotide non-coding RNA. The record is from the annotation of a GenBank genome assembly. Lineage: Eukaryota; Metazoa; Chordata; Amphibia; Anura; Pelobatidae.
UUAAAUUCUUUACUCCUCUAUAAACAAUCUUAGGCUUCUCCGGAAGAAUACUAUUAAGGAGGGGGUCAUUUCUUAAAAUUGGCCAAUACUUUGAAACUAUUUUUCUAAAUUCUUUACUUUUACAGUUAAAGUCACAUAUAAGUCCUAUUGUUUGUGGUUCAACUUUAUUUUUAGUGUGCACACACGUUAGAUGCACUGUGUAGGUUAGGUUACAGUUGGUUAUACUGUGCACCUACACAUGUUAGAUGCACUGUGUAGGUUAGAUUACAGUUAGUUAUACUGGGUGGGUUUAUAUUAUUAAAGGGACACUCCAGGCUCCCACACACGUUAGAUGCACUGUGUAGGUUAGAUUACAUUUAGUUAUACUGAGGGGGUUUAUAUUAUUAAAGGGACACUCCAGGCUCCCACACACGUUAGAUGCACUGUGUAGGUUAGGUUACAGUUGGUUAUACUGUGCACCUACACAUGUUAGAUGCACUGUGUAGGUUAGGUUACAGUUAGUUAUACUGGGUGGGUUUAUAUUAUUAAAGGGACACUUCAGGCUCCCACACACGUUAGAUGCACUGUGUAGGUUAGAUUACAGUUAGUUAUACUGGGUGGGUUUAUAUUAUUAAAGGGACACUCCAGGCUCCCACACAUGUUAAUAGCACUGUGUAGGUUAGGUUACAGUUAGUUAUACUGGGUGAGUUUAUAUUAUUAAAGGGACACUCCAGGCUCCCACACACGUUAGAUGCACUGUGUAGGUUAGGUUACAGUUGGUUAUACUGGGUGGGUUUAUAUUAUUAAAGGUACACUCCAGGCUCCCAGACACGUUAGAUGCACUGUGUAGGUUAGGUUACAGUUG